Molecule: unclassified non-coding RNA, 3156 nt
Filed under: Hevea brasiliensis (rubber tree)
Lineage: Eukaryota; Viridiplantae; Streptophyta; Magnoliopsida; Malpighiales; Euphorbiaceae
Source: RNAcentral
UAUUAUUAUUAUUAUUAUUAUUUUACAUAGUGCUAAGAGUAUUUGGUAUACAUGAUUGCUUUUCACUUUGAAAUAUUCUUGUUCUUCUAUUUAUCAAGUGUGCAUGGGUGUGCACAUAUGGAUAUGUCAUGUUUUGCCAUCCAUUCUUUUAGCUUUGGUUGGUCAAUAAUUUGUACUGCUUGUGUUUCUAAGACUCUACUAAGUCUCUGAGCAUACUGAUCAUGGAUGCAGAAGAGAAACCUGUUGAACCAGAUAACAUGAAGGAGCGGGUAGUUAUAUAUACUUUUAAUCUCAAUUGAUUUAUUGUUUGCUUCUAUGUGGAUCAGUUUAAAGAAAAUAUUUUUAGUGACAACUCUUAUUUGUUAACUCUUAUCAGCCUCUUUCUGCAAAAAAUGAGACAUCAGUUUCUCCCAAUUCCUCUCAGGAUACUGCCAUUAUAGGUCACCGGAGGGACAUCACUGGUCACUUGGGGCCUUUUGGUUCACCUGGAGAUCGUACCAUCUAUCCUUCUAAUGUUUAUGCCCCUCAGGCACAAGCAUUCUACUAUAGAGGUUAUGAUAAUGCCAUUGGUGAAUGGGAUGAAUAUCCUCCAUAUGUCAAUACUGAAGGGUUAGAAAUUGGAUCAUCUGGUGUCUACAAUGACAAUGGUUCCAUUUUAUUCCAUGCUGGAUUUGGCUAUGGUCCGCAAAUGCCAUAUGGACCAUAUUCUCCAGUCACAACACCUUUGCCUUCUGUAGGUGGUGAUGCUCAGUUAUACUCCCCCCAGCAAUUUCCAUUUUCUGGCCCUUAUUACCAGCAAUUAGGUCCUCCUAGUACGCCAUAUAUUACUUCACCAACACCAGUUUCACAACCAGACACCUUAGCAAGUGUUGACCAACAAGGUGAUAACAUGCUUUUUGGACCAAGGCCUAGUUAUCCUCCUCUUCUAGGAUCCUUUGGUGGAGGCAAUUUUCCUGGGAAUCUUGGUACCCUUGGUUUUCAUGAUUUGCAACAGGGGUUUGAUGGACUGAGGUCUGGAGGACUUUGGUCAGAUUGGUCCAAGCCCUCUGAUAGACAUAGGCCCUUGACUCCCUUAUCACCUGCAGUUUCUCCACAGCCAAUUGGCACUUUUGGGUCAUAUGGGCAUAAUGUUGGAAUGGUUUGUUCUCUUGCCACUUUAUUUUUAUUGUUGCAUGUUCUCUGGGGAUCUCAUGCUUGCCCCUUUAUUUUCCUGACGAAGUAUAAUGUGCAUCCUUUUCUUCUAUUUGUAUUGAAUAUGUAUAAAUUGGCAAGCUGUAUAAGCAAGCAUGUGUUAUUUUAAUGGAUUGAAUUUGUGCCAAAAAGUUAUAAUGAUUUAUUUAUAUACUAUCUGAAUUAGUAUUACAAGUAUGCAGUGCAUGACGGCAUGUAGACAAUUUAGCGGUCCUAGGGUGCCGUGAUUCUGAUUCUUAGCUUUAUUUUUCAAAAGGGCCAUUGUUUUCCCAUUUGUUAUCAAUAACUAUGUCAAGCCAUAAUGGCUUUUUGGGGGCAAAAAUUUCCAUUGUGUCAUCUCACGGUCAUGGGGUUGGUUAUCUUGAUUCUUUGGAAUUCAAAUAUAGCAACAUAUUAUUCUGUGCUGUUGUGAUAAAGGUUGUGUGCAUAUGAUAAUAGAGUAUCCUUAACAAUGUGUCUAAGCCUUUUUAUGAUUUAACCAGAUUUGAAUGAUGAAAUUCAAUGUUUAUAUUGUAUUUUGUACUUUAAUCUGUAGGAUGAUUGGUCUUGAUCAAUAUGAUGAUCUCCCCAACAGACUUGGCUUGCUUUUUCAUACAUUUGUUGCCAUGAUAGCAACUUUGGCUUAUAUUUCGUGUUCGCGUGACUUUGGCAUUAUUAUUGUUGAUAGUGGGAAGUGGUGAACACUAGCAUCAUCCUCUGGAGCAUAGUCUAAUGAGGUAGGCUUGUGGUUUUAGAAUGGAUGCUGACAAAUUGUUUUUGUUUUUGUAGGCAUCUCAACAACAAAGAUCAUUUUAUGGCAUUGGAUCUGGUUCAAACUCCUACACUAGAGGCUACAUGCACAGUGGUUUAAAUCAGGGAUCUGGAUUUGGGAGUGCUUCCAUUUCUAGUUUAGGGACGAACAGCAGGGGCUGGCUUUCCCAUGAAAACAGCAGGCGGCUGGGGAGGGCCAGUACUUCUCUAUGCGGCUGUAAUGGUAGUCUUGAUAUCCUUAGUGAGCAAAACCGAGGACCAAGGGCCUCAAAGCCUAAGAGUCAAAAUACAGCUGAACACACUUCUUCUGUUGAUAAUAACAAAUAUAGCAAAUCCACUGCGAAGAUUCAUGUUGAGCUGUAUAACCGACCAGAUUUUGUCACUGAAUACAAGGACGCUAAAUUCUUUAUCAUCAAAUCAUACAGUGAAGAUAAUGUCCACAAGAGCAUCAAAUAUGGUGUCUGGGCCAGCACACCAAAUGGGAACAGAAAAUUGGAUGCUGCUUAUCGUGAAUGUAAGGAAAAGCAAGACCCUUGCCCAGUUUUCCUCUUCUUUUCGGUAAAUAUCUGACUCUCAAUGCUCAUAGAAUAGCAGGUUAAGUUGAAGAUGAAUUGAGUUGCAACACUUGAAAUGAUGAUGAUGAUUAGGUGAUUCCUGAUGAAUGAAGCCACUCAAAUAAACUGUUCCUUGGGCUCCAUUUAUUUCAGUGCAGUUCUAGAGUCUAGGAAAAGGAAAAAUGAUGAACCCCUUUUUGGUUUGGAACUCCUUAAAUAUGUCAAUUUCAGUUACUCAGACUGAUGUCAGUUUAUUUUUUCAGUUGCAUUUUCAUAGACAUCUUUUUGUCAGUCCUGAAGAAUACUUUUCUAAGAAAAAAGUGGUGGUUUUGGCUCCAUUAUUUACAUCUAUUUUGACAAAAUGUGUGCAGUCUAUUUGCUUCUUUUUGUGUAGGCAUCUUUUGUAAUGCGUUUAGAUUUCUAGUUAUCAGAAGUUUGGAAUUGAGCCCUCUCAAAGUCUGAGGGAAACUUUAGUUUCUUCUUUAUCUUUGUUCUGUACUUCUGUACUUCUAAUCUUGUUGCUUGCUUUUGAUAUUUUAUAAUCUUCUUGCAAAUCUAGUCAUUAUUCUUAUAUGCAGGUGAAUGCUAGUGCUCAGUUCUGUGGGGUGGCUGAAAUGGUUGGGCCCGUUGAUUUUGACAAGAGUGUGGAUUACUGGGAGCA